Molecule: non-coding RNA, 72 nt
Organism: Parelaphostrongylus tenuis
Lineage: Eukaryota; Metazoa; Nematoda; Chromadorea; Rhabditida; Metastrongylidae
Source: the annotation of a GenBank genome assembly
GCCUUUGUGGCAAAAUUGGUAGCACAUACUCCCACUAUGGGUAAAACACGAGUUCGAAUCCCGGCUAAGGUU